RNAcentral lists this long non-coding RNA (2649 nucleotides) under Coffea arabica (coffee). Its description in RNAcentral is "long non-coding RNA (CARA_LNC001678)". Lineage: Eukaryota; Viridiplantae; Streptophyta; Magnoliopsida; Gentianales; Rubiaceae. The record is from RNAcentral.
UUUUUUUUUUUUUUUUUUUGGUAACUAAGCAAUCUGAUCUGUUUGAAAUUGAUGCUUAUCUUGAUCGAAUGGACCAAAUAUGUCAUGUCUGGCAAGUUAGUCGUUGGGAUUCACAUGCACAUCCAUACAUGUCCUAGCGUUAGAAUAGGCAUUUAUACUAGAAAUUUUUUUUAAAGUUUUAUCGAAAAAAUUUUGAAAUUUUAAUCGGUACGUACUUAUGUAUGUAUGUAUGUAUACACAAGAUAAAUGCAAUAUUAAUAUAAGGGAUGAAAAAAUUCAUUUAAGAUAAAAGAAUCAAAAGUUACAUGGUAGUUUAUCGGCUUCAAAAGAAAUGAUACUGAUAUUCAAUUAAUUUCUUUUUUUUUUAGCAGGAAAGGAAUGGAAUUAAAAAAAAUGAAGAAAGGAGAUGCGAUUUAAAUCCAAAAUCUCUAAAUUUUGAGAUCUCAAAUGUUCAAUUAAUUCCUGCAUUUAUUUUGUCUGUACUCAAUUUAACAUUAAUUGUGACUCAACAGCUGUAGUGCAAUAUCCGUUGCUGUAGAUGUCAUUGAAAUUAAUUAAUUCUCCCAGUGAUCUUAAAACGUUGGCGUUAGCUAUAGAUUAUAUUGUUUGAACGCCUAUGGUUUGGUUUGACCAAGAAUGAAUGCUAAGCAGCGCCAUCGAUGCCUGCGGCAAGUUGUCGCCAGGAAUGGAAUAUCACAGGAAGAGAGCUUUACUUGAUAAACAUCUUGCUGGCUUUGGUGUAAUUAUUUGGCAAGUGGCUUCAGCUUAAUUAUUUGGCAAUAGUCUUGGUGUUUUCCCUCCCCCGUUUCCUCUAUCCCACAUCGAUUGAGAGUGGUGUGUGUGUACUAUUUAAGGUCCUCAGUGUGGCCUGACUUAAGUCAGCAUGCCUUUUGGAUUGGGCUGUGGGUUUCCCUUAAAUAGUGUGCGCGUGUGUUUAAUAGAGGAUAUUGUUAGCGUAAAGUUUCAAGUUCUCAAUCCAAGAAAUCCCAAUAAUCUUGUUCCUGACUUAAUUUAUGUGGUAAUGGUUGGAUUGAUCUUUCCCCUUGUACAUUUUCUUUUGUACCAUAAACUCAUUCUAACUGACGUUCAAAAUAAACUCAUAGUUUACAUAUAACAGCAAAUUUGUGACUCUCUUAUUCUAGUAUGACUGCCAUAUAAGUUCAAAGAACGAUUUGCUCAGAAAAAUCAAACAAAAAAAGGGGUUCAAAGUAGGAUUAAUUUAAGGAUAAUAUGUUCACUCAAAUUUUAGUGCCCUACAUAAGUUUGCUUUCAAUUCUUUUCGUGAAUUGUUAGCUGUUAAAAAAGAGCUUACGUGCUUGAUUUGGAUGUAAUCAAAGGGAGUUUUUCCAAACCGACCAAUUUCAGGUUUUAUAAUUAAUGACCCUCUUUGUAUCAUGUGCUCAAAACUAUGAGCAGCAGAUAUCAUGGUCCAUGCAUAGCGCAUCUUGUACUUGGUCAACGCUAUCAGGGAACUUUUUGGACAUGUAUAACGUUUAUGCAGAAAGAUUGCCACCAAUCACUUAUACGGCGAAAGAACGGAAAUGGAAAAUAAUUUCUUGUAGCCUAAAAAUCGAAAUAAGAAACUUUUGCAAUUCUGUUCUUCUUGAGAGUUUGACAGAUCUCCUCACCAGAUGUUCGCUUCUGACUUCUGAGGCAAUAAUUAAGCCAAGUGCGAUAUAUCUUGAUUGGCAACAAGAUCCCUCCCAACAACACAAUUCAUCAAUUUUCUUCACCCGUUUUUUCAGAAAUAUCUGGGGAAACAGAUCCCAUGCUUUAAAAUCAUAGUUUAGGGAUACCCCCCCGGGGGGGGGGGGUUCUCAUGCAGUUACACCAGAGAGAUUAACCGUCCCAAUUCUGAAACAAUAUACAGCUGAAUAAUUUGAUGAGGCUCUUCUCAGAAGGCUCAAUUGGAUCAAAUUUCACAGGAAUCACCCAUGCAUGCAGUGAGACGGAGUAUAUUAACAGCAUAGCUGUUGCAGUAGUUUUAAAAGAUUUAAGGAACUAUCGACAUAGCAUGCAUCAAACUCGAGCGAGCAUUGAAAAAUAAUCAGUUUACCUAUUCAUGUGGUAGCAAUUCUUCAACAGGAAAAGAACAUUCAGAGCAUGGGAAUAGGAUUGUGUCUGUAUAACCUCACUAGCUAAGAAUGCUAAUUCUUCAUGUCAUGGCAAAAUUUACCUUGUCAGCUACUUCAAGUUGAUAAGCUCUCUAAAGUCUAAAACAUCUGAGAAGGAAAAUGCAUGCUCACGAAUUUUCUGCAUAGUACUACCAGUUAGGAAUGGAAACUCCACAUCAAGCACAAAACUAACUGCCAACGCUCAGAAGGUAAAUAGCCUCUCUCUUGUUGUGCGUGUGUGUGAAAAAGAGUCGCCGUCAAAUCAGAAAAUGGCAGAAGACCAAAGUACACCUCAUAUCAAUAUAGUAACUUCAAUCACAUAUCAUAUCAACUUAGCAAAUAGAGAUAAUACAACAGAAACAUUUUACCAAAUACAGAAAUAACACAGAAAUUAACACAGCACAUACAUGCAGGUUUUGACAGAACUCCAACUGGUACAAACAAAAGUCAUUCUGCAACCAUCACACCUGUUAAGUAGACUUGGCUCUGUAUCACACUGCCUCCAAUCCAAAAUCCUGGCAUAACCAUUAAACCA